AGAUCGUGAACAACAACAGGAUGAAGUUUGUAGUAAACUAGUGGACCACAGCAACUUUAAUGUUUAUCAUGGCAAUGGUAAUGGAAACCAAUUUUCCUAUUGGUCACGUUUUGACAAGUGACAAGCAUUUAUUGUAGGAAAAAGUAAAAUUACAAAAAUACUGAACUCCGAGCAAACUUCAAAACGAAAAGUCCCUAAUCAAAUGGCAAAAUCAAAUAUCCAAACACAUGAAGGGACAACAACUGUCAUAUUCCUGACUUGAACAGUAGAAUAUUAAAAUAUAUUUUAUGGUGAAAUUACAUUUAAUGUAAGGGUUUUAAACAUUUAAUUAAUAUACAUAAGUAAGAAAAGUGACUCAAGUGCCUUUAAAUGGGUAGGUUUUUUUUUCGUCACACAAAUUGUUAUCUAUGAUAUAUACGUCAAAAUGUUCAUCCUUUUAAUUUUACAAACAUAAACAUGAUAAAGUAAUGGAGUAAACUAACCUUCAUACAUAUGGUUUAAAUUGCAAAAUUAGAAGGGUACAUACAAAUAUUAUUAAAAAGAUCUGUAUGGAAUUAAAACUAAAGGCUUAAAAAAUUGUUUUAUUGAUAUUAGAGAGACAUGUUUUUCUGAUUUCUAGAAAAAAAAAUACACCACAUGAUAUAUACUCUUCAACAAAAUAUAUUUCUAGCAGUUUCGUAUGCUGGUCGGUUUUUUGUUUUAAGGCUUUUGUGCUCUUGUUUGUUUGUUUUGUGUUUUUUUUUGCUUAGAAGAUUACCAUUAUGCAUUUGUGUAGAAAAAAAGAUAAUAAACAAUAAAAAAAAAGUAAAGGAUAAGACUACAUACAUAUUUUUUUCGAUGUUUUUUAUUUCUUGUUACUUUCCCCGCCCCCUUUUCAAUUAGUUGUUUCAAUACUGUUUUGUCUACUAUCAAUCUAAGGCUGUGUCUGUUUUUUUCUUUGUUUUGCGUCAACUGAUUCUGAGAAAACCUACCAGACAGCAAGGAAAAAAAACACACACAAAGAAAAUAACACAAGAGUCUGCUUAAGUUCUGGACUGAUUAACAGUGACUUUAGAUCAAUACUGUCAUAUCUAAGUGAAAGAGCAAACAUGACAAACAGGAAAUUUAGCAAUGUACAAACUUGAUAUGACUAUAUUCUGAGAAAUGGCCUUGGUAUUUCAAACAUUUCCCAUUUAUACUGAAGCCUUUGAGAAGAGACAUGUUUUGAUCUGAGAUGUGUCAUGUUGUAUUAAAACCUAUGUAUAAUCAAUAAUUCCCUGUAUCAAAUCAUUAAUGCUUUAAGCAUGAAUUAUCUCCCAUUUGCAGAGUUAUCUUCCUAUAAUUGGAAUACUUUAUAUAAACUUUUUGGCAAUAUAUUAAUAUUUUGUUCUGCAUACUUUUUUUUCAGAAAAUAAACUAAUGAAAUUAUGUUUUAUAUCUUAAUAUCUUGUGGAAUUAAAAAUGUACAUACUAAUUUAUCCUAUCUUAUCAGACAGUAGAUAUCAUUUUAAGAAAUUUAUUAGAAAUAUUUGCAAAAACUACUAUUUUUCAUUUAAAAAAGUUUAAAAAUUUAUUUCAAUUAUAAAAUAAGAUAACUGUGCAAAUGGGAGGUGAUAGGUUCAUUGAAUCUUGUAUUUAACGCGUCUCUUAUGCUGGCUACGUAAAGGCUCUCUAGGAUCUGAGAAAAAGUUUCUGUGCCGGCGAGCGGAAAGGCAUAUGGAGCCAGAACGAUCCUUUUAUCUUUGAAAAGUGAAACACAAACGAUCUCGCUCGCCGGCACAUUUAUACUGGCCAUUUCUGCUGUCACAUGUAUCGAAGUCAAGAUCGCUUAAACGCUUUAAAUAAGGAGCGUACUUGUUAUUUAAAGCGCAAAAUAGAUUUGAGUAUAAGAAUACACAAAAACACGGCUGGAAAAACCCGGAAAAUACGGAUUUUCUACUGACAAACAAAAAAAGUUUGUGUUUGUUUUUGACACAAAUUGGCCGAAAACCUACCCGCACGCGGACGCAAAACAAAUAAAAAACAACUAUGGCCUAACAUCAUUUGAAAACAGACUACGAGUUACGAUAGAUGAAAAUCUAAAUCAAAUUUGUACUUCUUGCAAUGUUAAUCUCCUUUUUAUUUUGUGUUCGAUUAGUUCAAGAGAAAUCUGUAGCAAGCAUUACUGAAGACAAUAUGCAUAUGAGACCAUGUCCUGCUGUAAUGGUGCCACCACCGCCACCAGAUCCACCGAAUCCAAAUUAACAAUGAUUGAUAUUGUACUUGAAAUAAAAUUAGUAAUUUGGUGCAGCCGUCGUGAAUCUCCAUAGCUAUCAGCCUUGUUGAAUAAUUCAUUUAGUAAAAAUGGAAUACAAGUAGUUGUAUUGUAUAAGU
Molecule: long non-coding RNA, 2352 nt
Filed under: Mytilus galloprovincialis (Mediterranean mussel)
Lineage: Eukaryota; Metazoa; Mollusca; Bivalvia; Mytilida; Mytilidae
Source: RNAcentral